Molecule: microRNA, 23 nt
Filed under: Gallus gallus (chicken)
Lineage: Eukaryota; Metazoa; Chordata; Aves; Galliformes; Phasianidae
Description: gga-miR-7467-3p
Source: miRBase by way of RNAcentral
CACCACAGCCACCACGCUGACGC